RNAcentral lists this ribosomal RNA (492 nucleotides) under uncultured bacterium. Its description in RNAcentral is "partial 16S ribosomal RNA". It matches the Rfam family "Bacterial small subunit ribosomal RNA", at positions 29 to 507 of the family's 1533-position model. The record is from RNAcentral.
AGUGAACGCUGGCGGUAGGCCUAACACAUGCCAGUCGAACGGCAGCACAGUAAGAGCUUGCUCUUACGGGUGGCGAGUGGCGGACGGGUGAGGAAUACAUCGGAAUCUACUUUUUCGUGGGGGAUAACGUAGGGAAACUUACGCUAAUACCGCAUACGACCUACGGGUGAAAGCAGGGGAUCUUCGGACCUUGCGCGAUUGAAUGAGCCGAUGUCGGAUUAGCUAGUUGGCGGGGUAAAGGCCCACCAAGGCGACGAUCCGUAGCUGGUCUGAGAGGAUGAAUCGGCAAAAUGGAAAUUGGGAAAGGGUCAGAACUCUAAGGGAAGGAGGAGUGGGGAAUAUUGGACAAUGGGCGCAAGCCUGAUCCAGCCAUACCGCGUGGGUGAAGAAGGCCUUCGGGUUGUAAAGCCCUUUUGUUGGGAAAGAAAAGCAGCAGGUUAAUACCCCGCUGUUCUGACGGUACCCAAAGAAUAAGCACCGGCUAACUUCGUG